UCUUCCAGUUGACAAGGAAUUUCACUGAUCAAGAACGUACAGUUUGCAUAUAUCCAUUCAAGAUGAAACUUGUAGCUUGCGCUAUUUUAUUAUGUUUUAGCCUAAUGGUCUUCCACACAGAAGCCUUCACAGCAGGUAUAGGAAAUUUUGGUAAAAGAGAAAUCCUUGAGAACAAUCUUCGUCGUGUCUGCCGAUAUGUAAGAGACACACGAGGCAUGGACCGAGGCAGAAUGUCAAAACAACAAUACCAAGACGUACGAGAGAUUUGCUUUAAAUAAGGCUGCAACAUGCUUAUAAGAAUAUUGUAAAUUUAGAUAUAUUCACGGAAAAAGGAUACCAUGAACUGUACUGGAACCGAAAAUUUAUAUUUGAUAGAACUAUAUCAUGUUAAGACAUUGUAAUUAAAAAAAAUGUCAAUAAAAAAAGUCUUAUUGUCUAUUCAA
Molecule: long non-coding RNA, 443 nt
Organism: Exaiptasia diaphana
Lineage: Eukaryota; Metazoa; Cnidaria; Anthozoa; Actiniaria; Aiptasiidae
Exons: 2
Source: RefSeq, a predicted model, not a curated record